AUACGGAGGGAGCAAGCGUUAUUCGGAAUCACUGGGCGUAAAGGACGCGUAGGCGGGUUUGUAAGUCAGGUGUGAAAUCCUACAGCUCAACUGUAGAACUGCACUUGAAACUACAGACCUAGAGUAUGGAAGGGGCAGAUGGAAUUAGUGGUGUAGGGGUAAAAUCCGUAGAUAUCACUAGGAAUACCGAAAGCGAAGGCGAUCUGCUGGGACAUUACUGACGCUGAGGCGUGAAAGCGUGGGGAGCAAACAGGAUUAGAUACCCCAGUAGCCC
Molecule: ribosomal RNA, 274 nt
Filed under: uncultured bacterium
Lineage: Bacteria
Description: partial 16S ribosomal RNA
Rfam family: Bacterial small subunit ribosomal RNA
Source: RNAcentral